CCCUUACACCUGCACAGGGGGAGCCACAGUCCUCUCUGAGAUUCAGCACAGGCUUUGAGGUCGCUGUAGGGGCCGUUUGCAGGUAAACAGGGAGGGCUCCCUGGAAGGGGGGCUGAAGCCUGAAGUCAGCGUUGCCGGGCUCUCCAAGAGGCCCCGGAAAACAUGGAUGGAUGCAGCAGCCCAGCACAUGGCUCAUAUCAGCCACGGACCCACCUCUAGAACCGACCCCAGUGCCUCCUGCUGCUUCUGAUGGCUUUCGUGGCAGGCCCUCCAGAGCCAGUCCUGUCCACCUGGGCCACCUUCUCAGGCUUCAUGAGCCAGGGACUUCGGCUGUUCUUCAAGCUUCCAA
This is a long non-coding RNA of Lynx canadensis (Canada lynx), 349 nucleotides long. RefSeq lists it as uncharacterized. The transcript has 3 exons. NCBI's taxonomy places the organism in Eukaryota, Metazoa, Chordata, Mammalia, Carnivora, Felidae. The record is from RefSeq and is a predicted model, not a curated record.